CCCUGCCAGCGAAGGAGCUGCUAACUUGUACAGAAACAGGCACUCAACGCGAGGGCACUGGAAGGGAAAUAACGCCGGCGGUUGAAGUCCCUUCUGCAGGUGAUGGGGAGACGCAAACUUGUAUAGACACUCUGCGGGAGGACACUGGGAUG
This is a long non-coding RNA of Asparagus officinalis (garden asparagus), 152 nucleotides long. RefSeq lists it as uncharacterized. NCBI's taxonomy places the organism in Eukaryota, Viridiplantae, Streptophyta, Magnoliopsida, Asparagales, Asparagaceae. The record is from RefSeq and is a predicted model, not a curated record. The transcript has 3 exons.